Molecule: long non-coding RNA, 506 nt
Organism: Mesocricetus auratus (golden hamster)
Lineage: Eukaryota; Metazoa; Chordata; Mammalia; Rodentia; Cricetidae
Exons: 4
Source: RefSeq, a predicted model, not a curated record
AAGAAAACUCAGGAGAGGAGAGACUCGAGAAAGAAAAGAUUUAAAAACAGGAUUUAUCCUUGAUGUCUGAGAUAUAAAUAUUCUGAAGUGAUGGAAAAAUUACAAGCAGCUAUUAAAGUGAGUGAUUCCAAGCAGUGUUAAGAGGGGCUCAUCCCACCAGUGUUGACCUACUUCUGAGGGGACAGGAAGCCACCAUCAGGAUCAGCUACUGGACAAAGCAGAAUUUAAAGAGACCAAAUUAGCUCCAGAGUAAAUCUACUAAAUGAUAUCCUCACUUGCUGCUCUGAAGCACACUGCUUUCUACAAGGUCCCAGACUACAAACAGAAGACUAUUGAGCUCUUUGAAACUUCAUAAGAAGGAAGAGUUUUCCUCCAUCUCAAAACAGUUGAUUCAUGGAUUAAAUUUCUAGCACUUGGACUUUUGGGAACACAUUCAUUCCAUACCAGAAGAAUCCCUUUCACAUGAUUUUGGUUACUAAUUUGAAUAAAUAAAAAGAAAGAAAACA